AGGGCACCACCAGGAGUGGAGCCUGCGGCUUAAUUUGACUCAACACGGGAAAACUCACCCGGCCCGGACACUGGAAGGAUUGACAGAUUGAGAGCUCUUUCUUGAUUCAGUGGGUGGUGGUGCAUGGCCGUUCUUAGUUGGUGGAGUGAUUUGUCUGGUUAAUUCCGAUAACGAACGAGACUCUAGCCUACUAAAUAGAUCGUCGGCUUACAAACGCCGGCGAGACUUCCUAGAGGGACAGGCGGUGAUUCAACCGCACGAAACGGAGCAAUAACAGGUCUGUGAUGCCCUUAGAUGUCCGGGGCCGCACGCGCGCUGCACUGAAGUGAUCAGCGUGCUUUUUCAACCUACUCUGUCAAGAGUGGGGAACCCAAUGAACCUUCUUCGUGAUUGGGAUAGGGGAUUGUAAUUAUUCCCCUUGAACGAGGAAUUCCCAGUAAGCGCGAGUCAUAAGCUCGCGUUGAUUACGUCCCUGCCCUUUGUACACACCGCCCGUCGCUACUACCGAUUGAAUGUUUU
This 519-nucleotide ribosomal RNA is filed under the name uncultured eukaryote. RNAcentral's name for it is "SSU rRNA". It matches the Rfam family "Eukaryotic small subunit ribosomal RNA", at positions 1161 to 1699 of the family's 1831-position model. The record is from RNAcentral.